UGGGGUGUAGCUCAGUGGAAGAGUGCUUGCCUGGUGUGCUCCAGAGGCCCUGGGUUCCAUCCCCAGCGCCACAC
RNAcentral lists this transfer RNA (74 nucleotides) under Marmota monax (woodchuck). It matches the Rfam family "tRNA". From Rfam's summary of the family: Transfer RNA (tRNA) molecules are approximately 80 nucleotides in length. Their secondary structure includes four short double-helical elements and three loops (D, anti-codon, and T loops). RNAcentral also lists the same sequence under 1 other name. Lineage: Eukaryota; Metazoa; Chordata; Mammalia; Rodentia; Sciuridae. The record is from Rfam by way of RNAcentral.